Octopus sinensis (East Asian common octopus) is the source of this 171-nucleotide long non-coding RNA. RefSeq lists it as uncharacterized. The transcript is spliced from 3 exons. The record is from RefSeq and is a predicted model, not a curated record. Lineage: Eukaryota; Metazoa; Mollusca; Cephalopoda; Octopoda; Octopodidae.
UCCUAAGCCAAGAUGAAUACAAUUGUAUUCUUGGAAACUGUAGAGUCACCUGAGGAUACAAGGUGAGCUUUAUUUGGAAUUCACUGAUACAACAGUGUAAGACUUUGUUUUGAGAUAUACUUAGAUUUGUGAUUUCUGCAAUGUGGUGCAUAAAUUGUCAAGUAAAAGAGA